Molecule: long non-coding RNA, 203 nt
Organism: Vidua macroura (Pin-tailed whydah)
Lineage: Eukaryota; Metazoa; Chordata; Aves; Passeriformes; Viduidae
Exons: 3
Source: RefSeq, a predicted model, not a curated record
CUACCACAAGGAGAGUGGGGCAUAAAGGCAUUUGUGGAGCAUUCUGUUUGCUAAUUGCUCAUGGAAUUUCAGGUUGAAAGAGAAGAAGGGAAUUUACCAGGUGGCUGCAUCUUGAAAAACAGGUACUUUCUAGCAAUGAACUUCAUCCAAAGAUACUGAAGGUAGGUUAUGAUUCCAACAACAGGCACAGAGAAAGUGGCAGG